Molecule: unclassified non-coding RNA, 299 nt
Filed under: fungal sp.
Lineage: Eukaryota; Fungi
Description: partial internal transcribed spacer region
Source: RNAcentral
UUGAGCUGGAUGGCGAUCCCGCGGCCGUGCGCUUCGUUGAUGCCGAAACGAAUCGAUCGGAAUGUCGACGCAAGGAACGUCGUAUACAUCGUCUGCUCGAGCGACUUGUCGAGCUUGCCCCGAUCGACCAGAAACUGCAGUGCGAACAAGCCCGAAAUAUCAGCUUUGGCCUCUUCGAUUGCGCUGUAGGUGUCCUUGAACUCGAGUCGCACCGUCGUCGCACGGCCACUGACGUUGAUGUUGUGCGGACCAAGGCCGUGCAUCAGCUCGUGCAUGAGAAUGUGCGUGAAGAACGCAGC